UUUUAAAGGACGAGGGCAGG
Molecule: non-coding RNA, 20 nt
Filed under: Rattus norvegicus (Norway rat)
Lineage: Eukaryota; Metazoa; Chordata; Mammalia; Rodentia; Muridae
Source: RNAcentral